AGAGUUUGAUCAUGGCUCAGAUUGAACGCUGGCGGUAUGCUUAACACAUGCAAGUCGAACGGUAUCMGGCCUUCSGGCGCUGACSAGUGGCGGACGGGUGAGUAACSCGUAGGAAUCUGCCUCAUAGUGGGGGACAACGUGGGGAAACUCACGCUAAUACCGCAUACGCCCUACGGGGGAAAGCGGGGGAUCUUCGGACCUCGCGCUAUGAGAUGAGCCUGCGUUAGGUUAGCUAGUUGGUGGGGUAAAGGCCUACCMAGGCGACGAUCUAUAGCUGGUCUGAGAGGACGAUCAGCCMCMCUGGGACUGAGACACGGCCCAGACUCCUACSGGAGGCAGCAGUGGGGAAUAUUGGACAAUGGGCGAAAGCCUGAUCCMGCMAUACCSCGUGUGUGAAGAAGGCCUUAGGGUUGUAAAGCACUUUCAAUUGGGAGGAAA
Molecule: ribosomal RNA, 438 nt
Filed under: uncultured bacterium
Lineage: Bacteria
Description: partial 16S ribosomal RNA
Rfam family: Bacterial small subunit ribosomal RNA
Source: RNAcentral